GUGAGACAGUUCGGUCCCUAUCCGUCGUGGGCGUAGGAAAUUUGAGAGGAGCUGUCCUUAGUACGAGAGGACCGGGAUGGACAUACCUCUGGUGUACCAGUUGUCGUGCCAACGGCAUAGCUGGGUAGCUAUGUAUGGACGGGAUAAGUGCUGAAAGCAUCUAAGCAUGAAGCCCCCCUCAAGAUGAGAUUUCCCAACUUCGGUUAUAAGAUCCCUCGAAGAUGACGAGGUUAAUAGGUUCGAGGUGGAAGCGUGGUGACACGUGGAGCUGACGAAUACUAAUCGAUCGAAGACUUAAUCAAUUUUUAAA
RNAcentral lists this ribosomal RNA (310 nucleotides) under Staphylococcus epidermidis. RNAcentral's name for it is "bacterial LSU rRNA". It matches the Rfam family "Bacterial large subunit ribosomal RNA", at positions 2621 to 2925 of the family's 2925-position model. Lineage: Bacteria; Bacillati; Bacillota; Bacilli; Caryophanales; Staphylococcaceae. The record is from RNAcentral.